RNAcentral lists this ribosomal RNA (474 nucleotides) under uncultured bacterium. RNAcentral's name for it is "bacterial SSU rRNA". It matches the Rfam family "Bacterial small subunit ribosomal RNA", at positions 8 to 526 of the family's 1533-position model. The record is from RNAcentral.
AGAGUUUGAUCAUGGCUCAGGAUGAACGCUGGCGGUAUGCUUAACACAUGCAAGUCGAACGAGACUCUUCGGAGUCAAGUGGCGGACGGGUGAGUAACGCGUGAGAAUCUGCCCUCAGGUUCGGGACAACCACUGGAAACGGUGGCUAAUACCGGAUAGGCCGAAAGGUGAAAGAUUAAUUGCCUGAGGAGGAGCUCGCGUCUGAUUAGCUAGUUGGUGGGGUAAAGGCCUACCAAGGCGGCGAUCAGUAGCUGGUUUGAGAGGACGAUCAGCCACACUGGGACUGAGACACGGCCCAGACUCCUACGGGAGGCAGCAGUGGGGAAUUUUCCGCAAUGGGCGAAAGCCUGACGGAGCAAUACCGCGUGGGGGAGGAAGGCCCUUGGGUUGUAAACCUCUUUUCUCAGGGAAGAAUAAUGACGGUACCUGAGGAAUCAGCAUCGGCUAACUCCGUGCCAGCCGCCGCGGUAAUAC